UGCUGAAGAUGAGUGUGUAAAUAUAUUCUGAACCUUGUAGCCCACUGUGGUUUCUCUAAUAGAAGCCGGAGAGGAAAAGCCUCUCUUUUUCAAAAAUAAUAAUAAUUCUGUAGAUAAUGACAUCGAGCAGUUGAGCUUACAUAUAGCCUUAAAUGUCUAACUUGGUGGAGUUGCACUCUAUAUUGACUGACAAUCUAACACUGAGCCACUGAUGUCUUCGGAUGAAGCCUGGGGCCAAUACUAAACAACAACAAUUGGUUUUGGCUGGCCUGGAGCCUUGAAGAUUAUCUUUCUCUACCCUUAGUUUGAAGCCUGUAUCGUAGUUUAGUUUUUUUUUUCUAGUUGUGAGACUUUCCAUAUUGGAGAACUAUCUACUGCAAGGAAUGUUAGAAUGCCACUGUGAUUUCAUUUCAUGAAAUGGAACCAUCAGGAUGGAAACCCUUAUCUUUCUAAAGAAAAUGUCUAACUUCGUGGAAAUAUGUUCACUAAUUCAUUUUUGUUCUUGUAGCUCGUCCUGAUUACAUCGAUACAACGGGAAUACGGGAUGGUUCUUGUUAGCCCAUGGUACCUUUCUCUUGAGCAUAAUAAGGGACUAAAUAACAUACUCCCUCCGGGUCGGAAGGAGUACCAAAUUUUUGUGAUGCAG
RNAcentral lists this long non-coding RNA (646 nucleotides) under Brachypodium distachyon (stiff brome). RNAcentral describes it as "long non-coding RNA (BDIS_LNC003205)". The record is from RNAcentral. Lineage: Eukaryota; Viridiplantae; Streptophyta; Magnoliopsida; Poales; Poaceae.